ACAGCGUUUAUGAUUGUUAUUAUUUCUUUUUCAAAUGCAUAUGAACAGAGACAAUUAUUCGAAAGUGAUAAUAAACACUGGAAAGCCAGACUUAUACGCUGCCCAAACUUACUGUGAUUUUUUACAAGAAACUCUACAGAAAAGUGGAUUGAGCUUGAACCCACACAAUUCUGGCAUUCACUGCUAUUCAUGGAUCAGAUUCAAACAAGCGAUGAUUCCCGAGUGGAUAUAGUGUCAUGAUGGAAUAUUACAGAAAGGAUGAAAUUGUUGCACAAUUUAUUCAAAUUUGGAUGAAAUCGGUGGUACGAAUUUGUUCGAAUUUAAGAUUGAAACACGGCUAUAUUCUAUCCUAUAUCUAAAAUGUUUCAAUCUCAUCAAUCUUUUUUGUUUGUAUUACUUAAAAUCGACACUACAGGACCACAGAAAUGGUUGCAGGAUCAUUUCCUGCUGAAC
This is a long non-coding RNA of Helianthus annuus (common sunflower), 453 nucleotides long. RefSeq lists it as uncharacterized. The transcript is spliced from 4 exons. Lineage: Eukaryota; Viridiplantae; Streptophyta; Magnoliopsida; Asterales; Asteraceae. The record is from RefSeq and is a predicted model, not a curated record.